GGUCCCGUAGUGUAGCGGUUAUCACGUCGCCCUGUCACGGCGAAGAUCGCGGGUUCGAAUUCCCGUCGGGACCG
Molecule: transfer RNA, 74 nt
Filed under: Streptococcus suis ST3
Lineage: Bacteria; Bacillati; Bacillota; Bacilli; Lactobacillales; Streptococcaceae
Description: tRNA-Asp (GTC) (tRNA-Asp-GTC-2-1)
Rfam family: tRNA
About the family: Transfer RNA (tRNA) molecules are approximately 80 nucleotides in length. Their secondary structure includes four short double-helical elements and three loops (D, anti-codon, and T loops).
Source: RNAcentral